This 2825-nucleotide unclassified non-coding RNA is filed under the name Hevea brasiliensis (rubber tree). The record is from RNAcentral. Lineage: Eukaryota; Viridiplantae; Streptophyta; Magnoliopsida; Malpighiales; Euphorbiaceae.
AAAAGAUGAAAACAUGGGACUCGUAAAAGCCAUAUGAUAUUCCUGUGUAUUAGUCUCUCGCACAAAAAAGAAAUAAACUAGAGACCCACAAACAGCCAUUGUUUUACUCCCACCUUUGAGGAGGAGACAGCGACAGCCACCCAAUAAAUUAAACGCGAACAGAAACAGUACCUUUUUCCUUGCAGCUACGAGACAUGAAGAAACCUCGAAGUGGCUCCUUAAUAAUAAACGCUAUUGGAUGCCAAAACAUCAAAAACAGAAACAACGGUAAUAGCAGCAAGAACAGCAGCAGCAGCAGCAGCAACAGUCACAAUAAAAAGAAUAACAGAAGAAGCUUCUAUGAGCUCUCUUUGUCCUUGAUUCUCUUGCUUUGGUGCCUUGUCUUGUUGUUCUACACUAGACUUGGCCUUAGCCACGAGAAUGAAGGGAAUUUGAAUCCUGAUAACAGAAGCAUACCUUGUCCUGGUGUUUUUAAACAUAAGCUUUGCAAUGAUACACAUUCACACGUUACAAAGAGAAGCUAUAACAAUACAAAUGGAGUGCUGCUAGAGCUUAAUCUGUCUUCCAGCUGUAACAAUUCCACAGUUCAUAUUAACAUUGCGAAUCAGAGGUACUCAAUUUCGGAGACUAAUAGUAUAGAAGAUAUUAUUUGGAGUUUUUUAGGUUACAGAUCUUUAGUUUGUAAAGUGCAAGAAGUGGAAGGAUGGGAGACAGGUAAACCCAAGGAGCUACCUGGUGGGAAAACUCAUCAUUCCACUUAUCUCAAUUUGGAUGAAUUUCGCAACAUAACAAGGCAAGAGAAAGGGCAACAAAUGCCCAAUCAGCUCGUCAACAUCACCCAUCGGCUUGAACCUGAUGGAAAAGAGUACAACUUUGCCUUUGCUAUGAAGGGUGCAAAGGUUGUGGCACAUAAUAAGGAAGCAAAAGGGGCAGAUAAUAUACUGGGGAAGGAUCAAGAUAAGUACCUAAGAAACCCUUGUUCUGUGGGAGCAAAGUUUGUUGUGAUUGAGCUUUCGGAGGAGACAUUAGUUGAUGUUGUCAAAAUUGCCAACUUUGAGCAUUAUUCUUCUAAUUUCAAGGAUUUUAACUUGUCUGGAAGUUUAAAUUAUCCAACUGAAGCUUGGACUGAGUUGGGAAACUUUGUUGCUGCUAAUGUCAAGCAAAGUCAAAGCUUCAAGCUGCCUGAACCCAAAUGGGUGAGGUACUUAAAGUUGGAGCUACUUAGUCAUUAUGGGUCCGAAUUUUACUGCACAUUGAGUGUUGUUGAGGUGUAUGGAGUAGACGCUAUUAAGCGUAUGCUUGAAGAUCUCUUUGUAGACCCUGGAGAAACUAGUCCCAGCAAAUUGCCAAAGCCUGAUGCAACUGCAAUACCACCUUUGAAGUCAGAAUUGGAUCUCAUUGAUGAGAAAAGAAAUGGCAAAGUUCAAAAUGGGGCUGAUAGUGCCACUAUGGGAACAGAAAAAACUGAUGAUUCUCAACAGCUCCAUGCAACUACAACAAAGGAGACUGUGACUAUAAGCAAGAUUCCUAAUCCUGCUACUGAAGUUAAACAGCAGCCAAUUAGCAGAAUGCCUGGUGAUGCUGUUCUAAAGAUCUUGCUGCAGAAGGUGAGGUCACUUGAGUUGAACUUAUCUGUGUUGGAGGAGUUUAUUAAAGAAAUGAAUAGGAGACAAGGAGAUAUCUUGCCUGACCUUGAGAAAGAGCUAAUCAGAGUUUCAUUUCUUUUGGAGAAGAGCAAAGCGGAAAUUAAUGAUCUUGUGGAAUGGAAGGAAAAUAUGGAUAAAGGACUUUCAGACCUUGAGUCAUGGAAAGCUACUGUCUCAUCUCGUAUGGAUGCAUUGGUCAGAGAAAAUAUCAUGUUGAGGUUUGCAAUUGUCUCACUUGUGACCAAAGUUUACUAACAAAUUUUUAAUAUACUUCCAGUUAUUUUCAUUUAUGAAUUGGUUUUCCAAUUGAUGUUCUAGUAACCUGAAUGUUUGAAAUUGUUCUCUCAUUUGUCAUUAAUCUGGAUCCUAAAAAUGAUUUCAUAGUAUCAUCAUAGGUCACAUGUUUACAACUUAGUUAAAGUGGAUUUUAUUAUUCAAUCCCUCUGUCUAUUAUUUAUAGCAAUACAUUUAUUUAAGCAGAUCAUUAACUCAAUUUUAACCCGAAGAUUUCAUAUGUUGGAGGAUUGUUCAUAGAUAUGAUUUUGUAUACUCUUUAAAAGCAACAUAGCUCUGGCUGGGAUCAAUUCCUGUCUGAAUAAAAGGGGGCCUAUUAGAUCUUGAAAUUUUAUGUCUUCUGUUCAAUUCUGAGACUUAUAGCUUAUGACAGAUUUAGAAUAAUGCAAGGAAAUAUGAAUAUUUACAAAUGAGUAGUGAAUUUUAAAAGAAAAACUGCUCCAUCAAGCCUUUUUGCAAUAACUUGACUGCUUUUGCUUGUAGCUGAUCCAUGCUUAAUGGCAAUGCUUGAUAUACUUGUAAACCAGAAUUUAUGCAGGGUGCAUGAUACUUGUGUUUUGUGAAAUUAUCCUCCCAUCUGACUAGCUUCCCAUUUUCCUACGCCUCUUUUCCUUUCUUACUGCAGAUUAGAUGUUGAAAAGGUUGUAAAUGAUCAAGCAAAUCUGGAGAGCAAGGAGCUUGCUGUAUUAGCAAUGAGUCUUUUCUUCAUGUGCUUUGCAACUAUCAAGCUAGUUUCAGCAAGAGUUACGAAAAUUUUGGGAGCUUCUCAGUCAGAUAAGGUAUGCCGGACAAGUAGAGGUUGGGUUAUGAUACUUGUUAGCAGCACAAUGACACUAUUCAUCACCCUCCUCUCUUAGCUAGUCCCUUCUCUGUGUAACUUGAGUA